UGGGCCCGUGGCCUAGCAUGGAUAUGGCGCCGGCCUGCGGAGCCGGAGGUCGAGGGUUCGAGUCCCUCCGGGCCCAA
RNAcentral lists this transfer RNA (77 nucleotides) under Candidatus Calditenuaceae archaeon HR02. Its description in RNAcentral is "archaeon HR02 tRNA-Arg". It matches the Rfam family "tRNA". From Rfam's summary of the family: Transfer RNA (tRNA) molecules are approximately 80 nucleotides in length. Their secondary structure includes four short double-helical elements and three loops (D, anti-codon, and T loops). Further hydrogen bonds mediate the characteristic L-shaped molecular structure. tRNAs have two regions of fundamental functional importance: the anti-codon, which is responsible for specific mRNA codon recognition, and the 3' end, to which the tRNAs corresponding amino acid is attached (by aminoacyl-tRNA synthetases). tRNAs cope with the degeneracy of the genetic code in two manners: having more than one tRNA (with a specific anti-codon) for a particular amino acid; and 'wobble' base-pairing, i.e. permitting non-standard base-pairing at the 3rd anti-codon position. The record is from RNAcentral. Lineage: Archaea; Thermoproteati; Nitrososphaerota; Candidatus Caldarchaeales; Candidatus Calditenuaceae.